UUGCAGUGUUGGCCACUGUCUCCAGGGAGCUGGUGGCCGAACCAGGACUGAGCCCACCUUCAGCCUCUCCUCACAGCCUCUCUCCUGCACCCGACCAGUGGCGAAUCUACCCAUCUGUGGCUGAGAAACUGAAGCACCUGUGAGGGCUGCUGGAGGUUGGAUCUCAGGAUUCCUCUUGGGUUUGAAGAGAACAGAGGGGAUUGCGUCAUGGGUGAGUGCUUAGCAGGCCAUGGACAGUGCUGGAAUUGUACUGCCAGGCAGCACCAUAGAAAUUCUGAUCCUGAAAAUGCCUUCUGUUUUUAUUGCACCCCUUGCAUUGCUUGCUGCCCUCCCACUACUUACAAAGUUAAGCUUUCUGCUGCCACCUGACUUUGCCUUUUGAAGAAUUAAAGAACAUACGGUCCUACAACCUGACUAAUAAAGAGAGUUGACAGCAGCUGGCCCCCGGAACUGGACAUACACAUCUGUUUCUAAAGGUUACACUUUGAAGGGAACACAACAGAGAGCUGAAUGAAAGACUCACCUGUAGUGUAGCACAAGCUUUUGACAACAUGGGGCACCAACAGUUGACUGGAAUGGAAAUUAAUUUGGAGAGACAACUCUCUCCUUGUGCCAAAGGAAAGUAACAGUGAUGGAAGUGGAUGCUGUCUUCACGGAUGCUCCUCCACUUGACCCCGCAUAGGCAGA
Long non-coding RNA from Fukomys damarensis (Damara mole-rat), 687 nucleotides. RefSeq lists it as uncharacterized. The record is from RefSeq and is a predicted model, not a curated record. The transcript has 3 exons. NCBI's taxonomy places the organism in Eukaryota, Metazoa, Chordata, Mammalia, Rodentia, Bathyergidae.